AAGGACUUGUAUCGCUGAAGUUCUUCGGAUAGAAAUUCUGCUAGAAAUUAACAAACAAGCAGAACGUAACAAUAAGUUAUAGCUUGUCUGCCGCCUAAUAUUUUGGUUUUGUAAGAUGAAAUGAUUUUUAAUGAAGACAAAUAAAUUUUUGUGAUGGUCCAUUUCUUGAAAUUACUAAAUAUAUACUUUCGGAUUCCAGAAGUUAUCAUGUGAUUAUCAAUACUUGUUGUUAAUUCAGAAUUCGAGCUAGAUGAUUUAAUUUAUGAGAGAAAGAAGACGGUAAUCAUUGAAUUAUCAAUGCCAGAAAGUGGUAGUCCUGGACCUUCUUGUCUCUGUGGAGGCCAAGCGAAUAUACAAGCUGUUCUAAGGCCUAGUGUGUGGCUUCCAGGAGUGCGGUUCCCUCAUCAGUACCAAGAGACUUGGCGUCUAGCUGCUAACCCAAC
Molecule: long non-coding RNA, 443 nt
Organism: Limulus polyphemus (Atlantic horseshoe crab)
Lineage: Eukaryota; Metazoa; Arthropoda; Merostomata; Xiphosura; Limulidae
Exons: 2
Source: RefSeq, a predicted model, not a curated record